RNAcentral lists this ribosomal RNA (496 nucleotides) under uncultured bacterium. RNAcentral's name for it is "partial 16S ribosomal RNA". It matches the Rfam family "Bacterial small subunit ribosomal RNA", at positions 28 to 507 of the family's 1533-position model. The record is from RNAcentral.
GAUGAACGCUGGCGGCGUGCCUAAUACAUGCAAGUCGAGCGAACGGACGAGAAGCUUGCUUCUCUGAUGUUAGCGGCGGACGGGUGAGUAACACGUGGAUAACCUACCUAUAGACUGGGAUAACUUCGGGAAACCGGAGCUAAUACCGGAUAAUAUUUUGAACCGCAUGGUUCAAAAGUAAAAGACGGUCUUGCUGUCACUUAUAGAUGGAUCCGCGCUGCAUUAGCUAGUUGGUAAGGUAACGGCUUACCAAGGCAACGAUGCAUAGCCGACCUGAGAGGGUGAUCGGCCACACUGGAACUGAGACACGGUCCAGACUCCUACGGGAGGCAGCAGUAGGGAAUCUUCCGCAAUGGGCGAAAGCCUGACGGAGCAACGCCGCGUGAGUGAUGAAGGUCUUCGGAUCGUAAAACUCUGUUAUUAGGGAAGAACAUAUGUGUAAGUAACUGUGCACAUCUUGACGGUACCUAAUCAGAAAGCCACGGCUAACUACGUG